Molecule: ribosomal RNA, 1368 nt
Filed under: uncultured bacterium
Lineage: Bacteria
Description: partial 16S ribosomal RNA
Rfam family: Bacterial small subunit ribosomal RNA
Source: RNAcentral
GAUGAACGCUGGCGGCGUGCCUAAUACAUGCAGGUCGAGCGAACGGACGAGGAGCUUGCUUCUCUGAUGUUAGCGGCGGACGGGUGAGUAACACGUGGAUAACCUACCUAUAAGACUGGGAUAACUUCGGGAAACCGGAGCUAAUACCGGAUAAUAUUUUGAACCGCAUGGUUCAAAAGUGAAAGACGGUCUUGCUGUCACUUAUAGAUGGAUCUGCGCUGCAUUAGCUAGUUGGUAAGGUAACGGCUUACCAAGGCAACGAUGCAUAGCCGACCUGAGAGGGUGAUCGGCCACACUGGAACUGAGACACGGUCCAGACUCCUACGGGAGGCAGCAGUAGGGAAUCUUCCGCAAUGGGCGAAAGCCUGACGGAGCAACGCCGCGUGAGUGAUGAAGGUCUUCGGAUCGUAAAACUCUGUUAUUAGGGAAGAACAUAUGUGUAAGUAACUGUGCACAUCUUGACGGUACCUAAUCAGAAAGCCACGGCUAACUACGUGCCAGCAGCCGCGGUAAUACGUAGGUGGCAAGCGUUAUCCGGAAUUAUUGGGCGUAAAGCGCGCGUAGGCGGUGACUUAAGUGAGGUGUGAAAGCCCCGGGCUUAACCUGGGAAUUGCAUUUCAUACUGGGUCGCUAGAGUACUUUAGGGAGGGGUAGAAUUCCACGUGUAGCGGUGAAAUGCGUAGAGAUGUGGAGGAAUACCGAAGGCGAAGGCAGCCCCUUGGGAAUGUACUGACGCUCAUGUGCGAAAGCGUGGGGAGCAAACAGGAUUAGAUACCCUGGUAGUCCACGCUGUAAACGAUGUCGAUUUGGGGGUUGAACUUUAGGUUUGGCGCCCGUAGCUAACGUGAUAAAUCGACCGCCUGGGGAGUACGGCCGCAAGGUUAAAACUCAAAUGAAUUGACGGGGGCCCGCACAAGCGGUGGAGCAUGUGAUUUAAUUCGAUGCAACGCGAAGAACCUUACCUACUCUUGACAUCCAGAGAACAUUCCAGAGAUGGAUUGGUGCCUUCGGGGGACAAAGUGACAGGUGCUGCAUGGCUGUCGUCAGCUCGUGUCGUGAAAUGUUGGGUUAAGUCCCGCAACGAGCGCAACCCUUAAGCUUAGUUGCCAUCAUUAAGUUGGGCACUCUAAGUUGACUGCCGGUGACAAACCGGAGGAAGGUGGGGAUGACGUCAAAUCAUCAUGCCCCUUAUGAUUUGGGCUACACACGUGCUACAAUGGACAAUACAAAGGGCAGCGAAACCGUGAGGUCAAGCAAAUCCCAUAAAGUUGUUCUCAGUUCGGAUUGUAGUCUGCAACUCGACUACAUGAAGCUGGAAUCGCUAGUAAUCGUAGAUCAGCAUGCUACGGUGAAUACGUUCCCGGGUCU